Molecule: ribosomal RNA, 435 nt
Filed under: uncultured bacterium
Lineage: Bacteria
Description: bacterial SSU rRNA
Rfam family: Bacterial small subunit ribosomal RNA
Source: RNAcentral
CAGGCCUAACACAUGCAAGUCGAACGAAGGCUUCGGCCUUAGUGGCGCACGGGUGCGUAACGCGUGGGAAUCUGCCCCUCGGUUCGGAAUAACAGUUAGAAAUGACUGCUAAUACCGGAUGAUGACGUAAGUCCAAAGAUUUAUCGCCGAGGGAUGAGCCCGCGUAGGAUUAGCUAGUUGGUGUGGUAAAGGCGCACCAAGGCGACGAUCCUUAGCUGGUCUGAGAGGAUGAUCAGCCACACUGGGACUGAGACACGGCCCAGACUCCUACGGGAGGCAGCAGUGGGGAAUAUUGGACAAUGGGCGAAAGCCUGAUCCAGCAAUGCCGCGUGAGUGAUGAAGGCCUUAGGGUUGUAAAGCUCUUUCGACGGGGACGAUAAUGACGGUACCCGUAGAAGAAGCCCCGGCUAACUUCGUGCCAGCAGCCGCGGUAAU